CCUACGGGUGGCUGCAGUGGGGAAUAUUGCACAAUGGGGGAAACCCUGAUGCAGCCAUGCCGCGUGUGUGAAGAAGGCCUUCGGGUUGUAAAGCACUUUCAGCGAGGAGGAAAGGUCAGUAGCUAAUAUCUGCUGGCUGUGACGUUACUCGCAGAAGAAGCACCGGCUAACUCCGUGCCAGCAGCCGCGGUAAUACGGAGGGUGCAAGCGUUAAUCGGAAUUACUGGGCGUAAAGCGCACGCAGGCGGUUGGAUAAGUUAGAUGUGAAAGCCCCGGGCUCAACCUGGGAAUUGCAUUUAAAACUGUCCAGCUAGAGUCUUGUAGAGGGGGGUAGAAUUCCAGGUGUAGCGGUGAAAUGCGUAGAGAUCUGGAGGAAUACCGGUGGCGAAGGCGGCCCCCUGGACAAAGACUGACGCUCAGGUGCGAAAGCGUGGGGAGCAAACAGGAUUAGAUACCCUAGUAGUC
RNAcentral lists this ribosomal RNA (465 nucleotides) under uncultured Aeromonadaceae bacterium. RNAcentral's name for it is "bacterial SSU rRNA". It matches the Rfam family "Bacterial small subunit ribosomal RNA", at positions 338 to 795 of the family's 1533-position model. The record is from RNAcentral. Lineage: Bacteria; Pseudomonadati; Pseudomonadota; Gammaproteobacteria; Aeromonadales; Aeromonadaceae.